This 664-nucleotide ribosomal RNA is filed under the name Enterobacteriaceae bacterium HGB0144. RNAcentral describes it as "bacterial SSU rRNA". It matches the Rfam family "Bacterial small subunit ribosomal RNA", at positions 76 to 733 of the family's 1533-position model. Lineage: Bacteria; Pseudomonadati; Pseudomonadota; Gammaproteobacteria; Enterobacterales; Enterobacteriaceae. The record is from RNAcentral.
CAGCUUGCUGCUUUGCUGACGAGUGGCGGACGGGUGAGUAAUGUCUGGGAAACUGCCUGAUGGAGGGGGAUAACUACUGGAAACGGUAGCUAAUACCGCAUAACGUCGCAAGACCAAAGAGGGGGACCUUAGGGCCUCUUGCCAUCGGAUGUGCCCAGAUGGGAUUAGCUAGUAGGUGGGGUAACGGCUCACCUAGGCGACGAUCCCUAGCUGGUCUGAGAGGAUGACCAGCCACACUGGAACUGAGACACGGUCCAGACUCCUACGGGAGGCAGCAGUGGGGAAUAUUGCACAAUGGGCGCAAGCCUGAUGCAGCCAUGCCGCGUGUAUGAAGAAGGCCUUCGGGUUGUAAAGUACUUUCAGCGGGGAGGAAGGGAGUAAAGUUAAUACCUUUGCUCAUUGACGUUACCCGCAGAAGAAGCACCGGCUAACUCCGUGCCAGCAGCCGCGGUAAUACGGAGGGUGCAAGCGUUAAUCGGAAUUACUGGGCGUAAAGCGCACGCAGGCGGUUUGUUAAGUCAGAUGUGAAAUCCCCGGGCUCAACCUGGGAACUGCAUCUGAUACUGGCAAGCUUGAGUCUCGUAGAGGGGGGUAGAAUUCCAGGUGUAGCGGUGAAAUGCGUAGAGAUCUGGAGGAAUACCGGUGGCGAAGGCGGCCCCCUGGA